GUACACGCUGUGACUAGCAUAUCAAUAAGCGGAGGAAAAGAAACUAACAAGGAUUCCCCUAGUAACGGCGAGUGAAGCGGGAAGAGCUCAAAUUUGAAAUCUUAAAGGGUUUCCCUUUACGAAUUGUAGUUUAAAGAAGUGUUUUCUGUUGAGGUUUUGGUAAAAGUUCUUUGGAAUAGGACAUCAUAGAGGGUGAGAAUCCCGUAUUUGACCUUUACUUUCAACUUUGUGAUACACUUUCAAAGAGUCGGAUUGUUUGGGAAUGCAGUCCAAAAUGGGUGGUAAAUUUCAUCUAAAGCUAAAUAUUGGCGAGAGACCGAUAGCGAACAAGUACCGUGAGGGAAAGACUGAAAAGAACUUUGAAAAGAGAGUUAAACAGUACGUGAAAUUGUCAAAAGGGAAGCGUUUGACACCAGUGUUGUUUUUCUGAAAAUCAAUUAAAGAAGCUGUUUAUGCUAAGCUGUUUAGACUUUAUCAGCUAAUCUGUUUAGUUUUGAGCUUUUCUUUAAUGCACUUUUCAGUUAACAAGUCAACAUCAAUUUCUUUUGCUGUAAAAAAGCUUGAGGAAGGUGGCUUGAGAUUCGUCUUAAGUGUUUAUAGCCUCUUGCCUAUGCAGUCGGAGAGAUUGAGGUCUGCAGCGUAGAUCCUUCGGGGCUAAAUGCAUUUGUGCUAAGUUAUAGCAUUUUAUAGACAACUUGUUGACUAUGAUUUGUCUUGUAGCUUACUCGCUUAUGUCAUUUUACCUACGCUUAGGAUGUUGAAGAUGUAGCACAUCAU
RNAcentral lists this ribosomal RNA (777 nucleotides) under uncultured Neocallimastigales. RNAcentral describes it as "partial large subunit ribosomal RNA". It matches the Rfam family "Eukaryotic large subunit ribosomal RNA", at positions 22 to 635 of the family's 3401-position model. Lineage: Eukaryota; Fungi; Neocallimastigomycota; Neocallimastigomycetes; Neocallimastigales. The record is from RNAcentral.